GUAUAAUGAUGAAACCCAUGCGUGUCAACUGACUCUGUGAACCCCUGGUGUGUGUUGUCGCUCCCGUCGGCGUUCUGCUGGCUGGAGUGCUCAGGACACCAGGGACCCAGAGACAUGAUCAUACAUCACUACUCUGAAUAC
Molecule: small nucleolar RNA, 141 nt
Filed under: Seriola dumerili (greater amberjack)
Lineage: Eukaryota; Metazoa; Chordata; Actinopteri; Carangiformes; Carangidae
Description: Small nucleolar RNA SNORD10 (ENSSDUG00000009940.1)
Rfam family: Small nucleolar RNA SNORD10
Source: RNAcentral